RNAcentral lists this ribosomal RNA (613 nucleotides) under uncultured bacterium. Its description in RNAcentral is "bacterial SSU rRNA". It matches the Rfam family "Bacterial small subunit ribosomal RNA", at positions 102 to 751 of the family's 1533-position model. The record is from RNAcentral.
ACGGGUGCGUAACGCGUGGGAAUCUGCCCUUGGGUACGGAAUAACUCAGAGAAAUUUGUGCUAAUACCGUAUAAUGUCUUCGGACCAAAGAUUUAUCGCCCAAGGAUGAGCCCGCGUAGGAUUAGCUAGUUGGUGAGGUAAAAGCUCACCAAGGCGACGAUCCUUAGCUGGUCUGAGAGGAUGAUCAGUCACACUGGGACUGAGACACGGCCCAGACUCCUACGGGAGGCAGCAGUGGGGAAUAUUGGACAAUGGGCGAAAGCCUGAUCCAGCAAUGCCGCGUGAGUGAUGAAGGCCCUAGGGUUGUAAAGCUCUUUUACCCGGGAUGAUAAUGACAGUACCGGGAGAAUAAGCUCCGGCUAACUUCGUGCCAGCAGCCGCGGUAAUACGAGGGGAGCUAGCGUUGUUCGGAAUUACUGGGCGUAAAGCGCGCGUAGGCGGUUUUUUAAGUCAGAGGUGAAAGCCCGGGGCUCAACCCCGGAAUAGCCUUUGAAACUGGAAAACUAGAAUCUUGGAGAGGUCAGUGGAAUUCCGAGUGUAGAGGUGAAAUUCGUAGAUAUUCGGAAGAACACCAGUGGCGAAGGCGACUGACUGGACAAGUAUGACGCUGAGG